GUGCUUGCUUCGGCAGCACAUGUACUAAAAUUGGAACAAUACAGAGAAGAUGAGCAAGGCCUCUGCACAAGGAUGACACACAAAUUUGUGAAGCAUUCCAUAUGUUU
Molecule: small nuclear RNA, 107 nt
Organism: Loxodonta africana (African savanna elephant)
Lineage: Eukaryota; Metazoa; Chordata; Mammalia; Proboscidea; Elephantidae
Source: Ensembl